Molecule: ribosomal RNA, 429 nt
Filed under: Acidobacteriota bacterium
Lineage: Bacteria; Pseudomonadati; Acidobacteriota
Description: Acidobacteria bacterium partial 16S ribosomal RNA
Rfam family: Bacterial small subunit ribosomal RNA
Source: RNAcentral
UGGGGAAUUUUGGACAAUGGGGGAAACCCUGAUCCAGCCAUCCCGCGUGUGCGAUGAAGGCCUUCGGGUUGUAAAGCACUUUUGGCAGGAAAGAAACGUCAUGGGUUAAUACCCCGUGAAACUGACGGUACCUGCAGAAUAAGCACCGGCUAACUACGUGCCAGCAGCCGCGGUAAUACGUAGGGUGCAAGCGUUAAUCGGAAUUACUGGGCGUAAAGCGUGCGCAGGCGGUUCGGAAAGAAAGAUGUGAAAUCCCAGAGCUCAACUUUGGAACUGCAUUUUUAACUGCCGGACUAGAGUGUGUCAGAGGGGGGUGGAAUUCCGCGUGUAGAAGUGAAAUGCGUAGAUAUGCGGAGGAACACCGAUGGCGAAGGCAGCCUCCUGGGAUAACACUGACGCUCAUGCACGAAAGCGUGGGGAGCAAACAGG